Molecule: long non-coding RNA, 14018 nt
Filed under: Salvia miltiorrhiza (redroot sage)
Lineage: Eukaryota; Viridiplantae; Streptophyta; Magnoliopsida; Lamiales; Lamiaceae
Description: long non-coding RNA (SMIL_LNC006479)
Source: RNAcentral
UUUUUUUUUUUUUUCUUAGAUAUGAUAAAAUCAUAACAUUUGUCGACAUUUACAUACUUGGUUUCAAUAAAAAAACGCACAAAAAUUUGUGUAAGCAUUGUCAACAGCUCCUAGACUGAUAUCUUCGUUUAUUGUGAAGUAUUGCAGAAAGGACAAAAACCAAAGUGAUACAGUCACAAACAAUAUAUUAUAAUUUCGAGUUUUAAGGCAUCCACCCCUGGCCAUCAAUUAUGAUAAUUAAUACUAGUAGUUAGUAUACCUUAAAGUGGAGUAAUGCAAAAAUUUCUCCCCUUCAUCAACAAAAAAAAAAAGAUAUUCGUUAGAAGGAAGACAUGAGUUUUAAUAAAAUUGUUAAAAUUAUUAUAAAUAGAGUAAAAAUAUAAUUUAUAGGGAUGGUGUUUUUUAAAAAAAAUAUUUAUUAAUUAAAAAAUAAAAUAUAAGUAUAAUUUAUAAUUAAAUAUAAGAAAUAAAGUAUGAUGCGAUGGUUCAAAAAUGGGUAAAUGUCACUUUUUGUCCCAUCGUUUGGCCAAAUUAUCAAUUAUGUCUCAACUUUCCGAUAAUAUCUAAUUGGUACCAAAUCUAUCAAUUUUUUUUUAAUUGUGUCCCGUAAAAAUUUUCCAGCAUUCGGAAUUGACGUGGAACGUCGGAGUUUGAUUACGUGGACUUAUUAAUCCACUUGGAAUUGCCAGCUAUAUUAUACUUAAAAAAGAAAAGAAAAAAAAUGAAAGAAACAUAGCUCCUGCUGUAGAUCGGACUAGGAGAGAGAUGGUGAAGGUAGCGGCGGAGAAAGAGAGGUGAAGGCGGUGGCGUUCGCCGACUGGGGUAACCUCUGCAAGUUUUACACCAGUAGGCAAAUUCCAGAGCACAGAAUGAUGCAUGCCAUGGAGGCCCAAGUUACGUUGUAUAUGUGGGCUGAUUUAAUCAAGUUUUUUAUUUUAUUAUUUUCGUGGGUUAUAUUAGGGUGGCUGAAAUUGGACCUUAGUUGAGUCAGUUUUGAGUUUUAUACCUUGUUUUGACUAAGAAUUUGUUUCCUUAUUAGAUAAUUAGGAGCUUUUUCCAUGUUUAUUAUCCUAGUUUGGUUAGGUUUUCGCAUACCCUAUAUAUAGGGCUUGUUAUGCACGAAAAUUGGAGAUCAUGAACAUUAUUGUUAUUUAUCAAAACUGUGAGUUUUAUUCUCUCUUGAGAGUUUUCGAAUUCUUCUUGAAAUUCCAAGUUGAAUUAAUCUAUUGGCGUAACAGCGAGUCAACCAACCCUCGUCGGGUGUCAUUCAUCGUUCCCGAGUUGCUGCGUCAACAUCACGUUGGAGUAUAGGGAUUCCAUCGCCUAUAUCAUUCUGUGGGUUAGAUUCAGAGGUUUUGGGAUCUUCCAUUAUCUAUCGUUCGUUUAUCAAGUCUUCCGUUUGCGUGCUCGUUUGAACGGUCUUGCAAGGAUCAUAUCACAAAAUCCCGCAACCAUUGCAACGGAAGCCUACAUCACAAUAUUUCAUGGGUGCUUUUCUGAAGAGAGAAAUGGUGUGCUCUGGAUUACCUCCACCGUUCUAGAAUCGGCGUUGUUGAAGAAAAAGUACCGUCGCCGCUGGAAACGGGAUUGACGAACCCUUGAAACUCCUCAACCUCAUCCUCCCCUUCAUCCACCACAGACUCCCGAAUAGGAUUGAAUUUCGGCGUGAGCAAGGGCUCAUCAUCGGCAUAAACCGCUGUGUCGCACCUUUUAUUGAUUUUAGGGCUACAGAGAGGGGCGGUGGCGGGAUUGAUUCAGACAAUCUUCUCAUCUUUUUGGCGAUUUUGUUGCGUGUGGAUGGCGAGCAGAGGGACGUCCUUCCAAACGGCAGCGCGGACAGGCAGAUGAGUGCGCUCUGCUUCCCGACAUGGGCGGCAAUGCAGGGGAAGUGGAAGGCAUGGCCACACUGUGGAUAGGCGCGGCGUGUUUUUGAGGAUAGAGAAAGGGGAUCUAGGAGAAGACGUCGCCGAGCUGAAGCAGAUUCUGGAAUGAGUUCUCAGCGUGGAAUUGCUAGUUUUGCAUUCCAGCUUGGGAUUCAUCACAUCAAUCUUGUUAUUCUCUAUACUCUUGCAACGCAAACGAGGAGUGAAAGGAUUGCUUCUAUUGGCUCUCUACUUAUCCGACUCCGGCGGCGGCGGCGAUGCUUCUGUGUUUGCUCUCUCUGUUGCGGCCGAUGUCAGGCCAGCGACGCAGUUGGCCGGACUUCAGACGACGUUGAUGGGUUGCAGGCGGUGGAAAGGGCUGCGGAAAACCCUAGUUGAGAGAUGAUGACCAAGAGCUAUAUUGCUCUAUUUUUUUUCUUUUUUUUAAGUAUAAUAUAGCUGACAAUUUCAAGUGGAUUAAUAAGUCCACGUAAUCAAAUUUCGGCGUUCCACAUCAACUCUCGGGUGCCGAAAUUUUUUUACGGGACACAAUUAAAAAAUAGUUGAUAGGUUGGAUACUAAUUAGAUAUUAUCGGAAAGUUGGGGCAUAAUUGAUAAUUCGGCCAAACGAUGAGACAGAAAGUGACAUUUACCCGUUCAAAAAGUGAAAUAAAACUCUUUUUUUGUGGAAAAAAAGAAAGAUAAGUAAAACUCUUUUCGUGAAUAGAGAAAGUAAUAGUUAUAAUAUUAAUCUAUUAAUUAUAGUUUUUCUCCUAAUACUAUUAUUAAUAGUAUUGUACUUUGGUACUAUAAACCUUGCAAUAACUAUUCAUUUAAUUUGCUAUUUCUUUUAAGAUGAACUAAAGAACACGUGUCGGUGGAUUCGAAUUUAAGAUUUUAAAUCUCAAAUAUUAUGGUGUUUGGUUGAGGUUAUAAGUUUUUUAAAACAACUUAUAAGUUCAUUCAAAGUGUUUGAUAAAAAUAAGCUCUUAAAUAACUUAUAAGCUGUAAAAAUAAGUUUCAAGAGUAUAAAAACUCUCAAAAAAUAAGUUUUUCUAUCUCAACUUUUUUUUAAUAAUUUUAUAUGCAACAAUAAUUUUACAAAUAUGAUUUAACAAUGAUUUGUUAUUUUCAUCGCUUACCCUUCUAAAUUGAUCUCUUUUCAAUUUUCUCCAUUUAACAGAGAUUGUAUUUCUUUAUCUUAUAAGCUCAAUUAUCCAAACACUUUGACAACUUAUAAGCUAUUAAUAAGCUACAUCUUAUAAACUCUUGAAACAUCUUAUAAGCUUUUGGCGCUUAUAAACUCUUUGAAAUAAUCUUGGUUAAACACCUUCUAACUAUACUACCACUAAACCAACACACACAUUAAAACUUUUAAAAGAUCGAGUAACGAUUGAUUCGAAUCUGAGAUCUUUAGCCUCAAAUAUUAAUCACACAAACACCAAAUAAUUGUUUAUAUUAUUAUUAUUAUUAUUAUUUGAAAUGUGCAUGAUAGUAUAGUAUCGAUUUUUUUAAGCAGGAGUAUAGUAUCGAUUUAUUUGUGAUUUAAUUGAGUUACCACGUGCGUUUAAACUUAAUACGUAUAGUAGCCAAAUGCGACUAAACAAACUUAUUAGACUGGCGAAAUCUGAUUACGUCUUUCAACAAAAUUAAUUUAUUAGCACAUUUUUCUUGUGCUCAAACAGUAUUGUACAAUAUUAUCAUAUUAUUAAUAUUGAAAGUUUUGUUGGUUUUCCAAAUAUAGAAAUAUUUGAUAGAAUCAAUUCAAUAUUAUCGUAUGAAGAUAAAAAAAUAAUAUAAAAUAAAGUACGCAUAAUAAAAUAAUUUUAUACUACAAUAUUAAUUAAUUGUAAUUGUAUGUAUGUUCUAAAAAUCAAUUUUAUAAUAAAGAUAUAUGAAUCCAUUGAAUAUAAUUCUUCUUAUUGAGUGAUAUUGAAUCCCUUCUAAUGUUGUCAGCAAUUAAUGCUAACAACAACUAGACUUUUAAUCAAGUUAUUCUAUGAAUUACAAACAUGCAAACAUACCAACUAGCCUUAACAUACGAGUCUCCCGCUCAAGAUAUAUUAUCCACACAAGUCUCCCACUCAAAGUGUGAUUUGAACUAGAUGUUUUUUUUCCACAUGUAUUUUUCAUUUUAAUUUUUUUUAGAUAUUUUUUCCAUAUGUCACAAAAGUGCCACCAUGUUAAUUUUCGGCUGCUACCUCAUCAAUUUCGGCUGCCACAGUGGCAUUUCCGGCGCCGGUGUAAGUAAAAAUCGGUCACCGGACAAAUUUGAGACAAAAAUGAAAGGUUAGGUAUUUAAAAGUAGAAAAAUAAAUUAGGUGCAAAAACCAAUUCGGUGUAAACGUUAUGAAUUUACAGGCAAUUACCCCUGUAAUAUAUUUAAAUUUCUUUUAUUUUUUAAUUUAAAGUUCUCUUUUUCCUGCUUACUUCUUUUCCCUCUCGGGUUUCUGUAAACAGGUUUUUUGAGGCUCGGCCCUUAGUCUGCUGUCUGUGCUUUCAAGGGCUUUUGGUUCUCCUCUUUUUUCGUUUUUAUAUACAACCGCAUUUUAUAUUUAAUUAUAUAUCGCACGUACGACUGUGGAACUCUGUUGAAGUUAAUAAUAGUCCAUUUUCUAUUUAUCAAGUUGCAUGUUAACUAUGCAAUAGACAUUGGUCUCGCUGGAUUAAUUAAAGUCCAUUUUCCGUGAUUAAAAGUUAAUCGGAAAAAAUCAUACAUGACUGAUUGAGUCGUCGCACGCCGUCGCAAGCCGCCGCCGCCCGUCGUCUGCUCCAGUCAGGAAAUGACUUCGGAAACGUAAGGUGAAACUGCUCGAAGACGAUUGGCAAAUAGCUGCUCGAUCCGGCGGAAGAUGAAAUCGCUGCUCUGUCGCAGAUUUCUCGCCGCCGAUCUGUCUAUCAGCUCGCCGCCGAUCUGUUGAUUUUGCUCGCUGCGAAUCAGCCGAAAAGCUCAGUUUUUUCGGUGAGUUUUUGGUGCCUUUUCCGUGGUCGGACUUGUGUGUUGCUGCAAUUAAGUUCGGUAUUUCCUCAUUCGGUUUUGCUGUUCUUGUUCAAUUUUGAUUGGGCUUGUUUGAUUGGGAUUGUUAAUUAGUUGCCGAUUUGCUGUUCUGAUUUGUUAAAUAGAUGCCAUCUAUUUAUGAUCUCAUAUGUAAAUUGUUAGAGUUUAAGUGCGUGCGGUUUGCGCAUCAGUUACUAUUAUUUGCAGUCCUCUUUGCGUGGCCUUGUUUCACCGUGCAGAUAAAGUGCUCGACGAUUUUUGUAAGAGAAGCCCAUCUUCUGUUGUCCAAGAAGGGAUUUCUUUGGAUGACAUGAGCACAUCGCCUGCUACCAUGGCUUCCGAUUUUCCUUCGAUCUCCAACAACUUUGUAAGGACUAUGCCUGCUUCUUCCGGUAAGAACCAAACUCGGCCCUCGGACGUUCCCUCGAGUUCCACCCUUAAACCCGCUUCUGAGAACAGCAAGAGUCAUUCCGAAGCUCUUGUCAACUCGACGCUGCAUGGAAUAUCUAGCCCUGGCGCUGAGGCGAAAAGGAACAAACUCUCUUUUGCGCGAACGGUCCAGCGAUCAGUUCCUAAACCAGCAGAUGUUUUCGCCCAGGACUUCAACGCUCUUCACCCGGUAAACAUUGGCAACAAAUCUAUUCUUCGGAUCCCAGAAGCCCUGUAUCAAAGUAAACUCAAGGAGUUUGAGUUCGCUGUUUACGCCAGGCUUUUGCUGAAUAAGGGAGACGCCCCCAGAUUUGCUUCUGACAUUAAAUAAGAACUCAUGGCUUUAUGGAAAAUCUCGGAUGCGAUCCGUGUGGUGCCACUAGGGAAAGGUUUCUUUUCGAUAAUUUUCGCGAAUGAAUAUGAGCUUGCUACGGCAAAAUCUAGGGCUACUUGGAAAUUAAACAAAGGUAUUAUUCGAAUAAGGGAAUGGGUUCCGGAUUUUGACCCAUACAAAGAAUCAUCUGCUCUCUCCCAAGUCUGGCUAAGAAUCUAUUAUCUUCCUCACGAAUACUGGCAUCCGGAAGUGAUAAUCGGCAUCGCCAGAUAUGUCGGUCUUCCUAUUAAACUUGAUGGUUUUGCGUUUUCGGGCCAAGUGGGUCACUUUGCUCGUGUUCUUGUCGACNUAGAUGCAAUCUAUGCUUGGUGGACAAGAAAAUCAUGGCUAAGAACGUAGGGUAUGAACGUGGCAGCUGGAAUUAUCUUUAAGCCAAAGUUUGUGUAUCGGUUAAGAAAAUAACCAAUCCAACAUCCAUAAACAAUAGGGAGAUCUGAUUUGUUUCUUCUCCUUCUUUCUUUAUAGAAUUCGAAAAUUUCCAUUAGUUCUCUUAAAAAAUAAAUAAAUGAAGAAGAUAAAAUUAAAAAUUUAUUCAAAAAUAAAUAAUUAAUUAUUAGAGUUAAAAUAACUCUUACAAAUAUGGAUGGAUGAAUUUACUUACUAGAGAUAGAUUAAGAUUCCUCAAAACAAAAAUAUAUUUCCUAAUUUGUCAGGUUCUUCCUGUGUAUCAUUUUUAUGUAUCUUAUUAUACGUCAUAUAUAUCUUUAUAUAGUAUAUUAUUAGAAAUAUUUUACUUUAAUAAAGAUAAAUUAGUUAGUUAGUACUCUAUUUAUCUAUAAAAAAUAGUCAUAGAAGAGUACGUCACAUGUUUUAAUAAAAAUAAUUGAGUGUAUUGUGAGUGGAGAUCAUUUAAAAGAUAGUGUUAAUAAUAAUUAAUUAUAUUGUGAAUGGAAAAAUGAUCCAUCAUUUGGUAGAAAAUGGUUGAAAAUAACAAGAGACUAAUUUGUAUGCAUGUUUCAAAAUGGUAAAAAAAAAAUAUUUUUGUGGAUGAAAUGAGUAUAUGAUAUUGUGCAUUUCUGUUAAUGGGUAAAAAUGUUCAUAUUUAUAACUUCUAAUUAAAAAUACCCUCUUUUAUAAGAAACUUGAUCUUAUGCUCAAAUUAAACCGAAGAGUCGAAAUUGCCAUUGGAUUUGAUGGGUUUGCCCACUUUUUCUAUGUAAGAAAAGUGUAAGAAAAAAUUAUAUGAUGUCGGAAAAGUAGGUUGCCGCCCGGACGGCAACCUCCUUUUUCGACCGACAAGCUAUUUUUUUUAUUGAAAUUUUUAAUUUGCUACAAAAAACAGUAAGUCGUCAGCUGAAAAAGUAGGUUGCCGCAACCUUCGGGCGGUAACCUACUUUUACAUUGAUUGAGACAUUAAAGAUAAUUUAGUCAAUUUAAGCAUAAACACAAUAAUUUUAUAAAAACGAAUAUUUUUUAUUACUAUAAUUUAAUAAAAGUGGAAAUUUUUAAUUUUCACUCCCGUGUUAACAAAUCAAAGGUGCAUUAGUAUACCAUUUGAAUCUGGAAAAUCCGGAUAUGUAGAGACACUAUUUACACAUUACGAAUAUUUAAACUUUGAAAUUUUGAAUGACAAGAAGAGCGUGAUCGAUUUUUCAGUUAAUAAAAAUCGAGAUUCCAGCAUUAAGUCAAAAAUCGAAUAUUUUAAUUUGAUUGGCUUUAAUCCGAAAAGUCCGUAUAAUUUUUCGAGGUGCCCUAAAUUAAAUCCGCAAUCUGCCCGAAAACGCAGAAAGUUGGUGCCCGGAAUCCUGCGGGCAGCCCAAACUCCAAUACCUUUCCUACUUUUCAUCGCUUGUGUCCCCUCCGUUCCACUAUCAUCACACAUUCACUCCCAACAGCAGCGCCACCACCACGCCGCCCUUCCUCCGCCGUGGUGGGUGGCCGAUCGUGAAUGCGAGUCUCGGAAAAUGGGGCAGGGCCUCAGCUGCAGUGAGCUCGAAGACACUGAGCUGUUCAACGCAGUUCAAAACGGAGAGGUCGACACCGUCCAAGCGCUUGCCGCCCAAGACCCAAUUUGUUGACGCUCAAAACCGUUCACGGACGCCUCUCCGCGCUCCACGUGGCAGCUGCGAACGGGCGGGUGGAGGUGCGCUUCUUUCGUCUCUCUCACUUUUGUUGCUUGAUUGGCGUCGCCAUGCUUUCUCGAUUGUGUUUCGAGACCAGAGAGUUGUUUGAUUUGUCUGAAUUUUGCGUUUUUCUGUUAGGUACUCUCUGUUCUUUUAGAUCGGUUUGGGAAUCCAGAUAUCUUGAAUCGGCACAAACAGGUCUCAUAUAAUUGUCGAUCGUUUUCUUACGAGUUCUGUUUUUUGGUCAUUUUUUCGGCCAUCGUUAUUUUAAUUAGUUAAGUUUGAUUCGAAUUCAGUGUUCUCUUCUGUUUACUAAAUAUGGAAAUUGUUGUUUGUGUGUUGUUAUUUGCUUAGACUCCAUUGAUGUUAGCUGCAAUUCAUGGCAAGUCCUCGUGCGUGGAAAGGCUUAUUCAAGCAGGAGCUAAUGUACGACAACUUUUCAUUUCUUUUUUCAUUUUUUAUUUUUUGUGUUUGAAAAGAUGCAUUUAUUUUGGUGGUGUUAUUUGCAGGUUUUGUUGUUUGAUACAUUAUGUGGGAGAACCUGUUUGCAUUAUGCAGCUUAUUAUGGUCACUCAGAUUGCCUCCAAUUGAUCCUUUCCGCUGGCAAUUCUACCCCUGUUGCUCAAUCUUGGUAAGUCUCUAUUUUUCACGGAUUUUGUCUUGAAUUCCAACUUUUUUAUGUGUGUGUUUGUUUUAUCAGUUUAUUCUUUGGAUUGCUUUGUGGGUCAGGGGAUUUUCAAGAUUUGUUAAUAUAAGAGAUGGCAGUGGUGCAACCCCGUUGCACUUAGCUUCCCGGCAAAGGCGCUCAGAAUGCGUUCACAUUCUAUUAAGCAGCGGGGCGCUGGUUUGUGCUUCCACUGGUGGAUAUAGGUAUCACUUAGUCUCAUUUUCACUAGCUCUUUGAGAGUGUUUCAGUAUAAGUGACUGAUGUGAUUGCAGCUAUCCUGGUAGCACACCUCUGCAUCUGGCUGCUCGCGGAGGCUCAUUGGACUGUGUUCGGGAAUUGCUUGCCCGCGGUGCUGAUAGACUUCAAAGAGAUUCUUCUGGGUGAGGAAUGCAUAUCCUUCACUAUGAAAUGCAAAUUAAUGUUUUUGUGAACCUUGAUCCAAUUCUUUAAAGAGCAAUCAAUGUUUAUACAAAGAGUUGCUAGAGCUGUUUGGAUAGAAUGUUUGGGUGAAGCUUAAACUGAACACGUAGUUCGAUCUUAAACUGAAACCUCGUCUAAUUCUUUCCUUUGGCUGCCUUUAUUGUGUGUGUGCAAUUGAUACAUGCAGUCGGUUCUAUCAAUAUCCUGCUGCCUCUGUCUAAGUGAAAGCUCGAUUAAAUGAUAUGGUGUCUCUGCAGGAGAAUACCGUAUAUGGUUGCUGUGAAGCACAAACAUGAUGCGUGUGCUGCUUUGUUGAACCCUUUGGCCCCAGAGCCUCUAACUUGGCCAUCACCAUUGAAGUUCAUUAGUGAGCUCAAUCCCGAUGCAAAAUCCUUGCUGGAGAAAGCCCUGAUCGAAGCCAACAAAAAGAGAGAAAAGGCAAUCUUGACCGAAACACCAUGUACUGCUCAACCACUCCCAGAUUCCGUAGGAAUUGAUGAUGAAUUUGAGGUAAAUAAGAUGACUAAACACUACAGUGAAUUUGACAUUGUACUUGCUCAACUUCAUAAAUGGCUUGUUGAAAUACCCUUAUGCUAAUCCAGUAUGGUAUGCAGGAGAAAAAAUAAACUCAAAAUUAAUAAGAGAAACGGCAAAACUAUAUAAAAGACGCAUUGCAUUUAAAUAGGAUAUCUUAGUUCUUGUAAAGCCUAUUAUACAGAAGGUUUCUCUGAAGCUAUUUCAAUAUGGUUUUAGUGUUAAGGGUGUUUGACAUACAAUGCAGGGUGGAGAUGCGGAGCUAUGCUGCAUUUGCUUCGAGCAGGUGUGUACAAUUGAGGUGCAAAACUGCAGUCAUGAGAUGUGUGCCCAUUGUGUUCUAGCCCUCUGCUGUCACAGCAAACCUAAUUCCUCUUCCAAGAUUCCUGUCUGCCCCUUCUGCCGAAGCAGCAUCACUCGACUAGCUGUCGCCAAGACCAAAAUCGACACCAAAAUCGAGUUGGAGCCUACUACUGCAAAGCCAAGAACAAGAAUAUCAGUUAAUCUUGGUGAAGGGAGCAGCAGCUUCAAGAGUUUGUCGUCGCUGAGCUCGUUUGGGAGGUUAGGACGCAGCUCCGGGAAGGUUGCUGCAGAAUGCAACCACGAGACCCAUAAGCCAUGAUACCGUCUUCCAUUGACUCCAACGUCACUUGAGAAGUAAAUAACCAAGAACCUGCACAUCUAAUAUGAGGUAUUUUUCAACCGGAAUAGAAUUUGAGGAGCAAAAUUGUUGAGCUCGUAAUUACCUCAUCAUUUCAAUUAGUUGCUUAAUAUAAGUUCAUUUUGUACUAAUAUCUGAUGACAAGAUUUGAAAAUUUGAUGGGCAUUUCUACUGAAUUUACUUGAGUCCGGCUUAGAAAAACCAGAUCAUUGAUGUCUAAAAAUACGAUUAGGGAAUGAACAAUACAGGCAUGGAAAAUGGAUCUCCAAAUCUUACUUUCGUCUCUUAUAGCAUAGGGAUCUGUUGAAAAUAUUGAAACAAUAUAAAGAAAUGUCAUAGACGAUGAAGGAGAAGGAGAAGGAGAAGGAGAAGGAGAAGGAGAAGAGAAAACUUGAGAUAAAUCUGGUUUACAAAAAAAAAAAACUUGAGAUAAAUCUUUUGAAGACUACUGUGUAAAAAGUAAUUACAAAAGUCAAAAUACAAGAAGUGAUGUAUACUCUUAAUAAACUAACUAGCAACUAAUCUAAGCAAAAUAACAACUAAUUCUAACAAUCUGCACUUAUUAGUUUUUUUUUCUUUUACAUUUUAACAGGAUCUUUGCAGGUUUCUUGUUUGUCUCGACCAAUGUAGUGAAUUUUGAAAGCUGAUGUGGAUAGAUGAAUCUCAGAGAAUACUUUAUACUUCAAUAACUGGCUCGAAUUGACUAAUUGUGGGAAAUGUUCUAACGAAAGUGAUAAAGAAAAUCUAAGUUACUGAAAAGUUCCGACAAAGCUGAGAGAGAGGAUAAAAGGAGCACAUUUUUUCAUUUUUAUUUAAUUGUAUUUUAAAUAAAACUAGUAUUACUCCCGUGCGAUGAAAAUGAAAAUAAAACAAAAUUAUAUUUUAGAAUAUUAUAGUAUGUGAAUAUAGUAGCAUGAAAAUGAAGAUGAAACCAUCUUAUAGUUGGUGAUAAAAAAAAAUUAUAUUUUAAAAUAUUAUAUUUAGAAUGAAGAUAGUAGCCUUAAAAUAAAAAUGAAAUCAUCUUAUAAUUAGAGACAUAUCAAAUGAAUGACCAAGAACUUGACAAAACCCUUUUAUCUAAUGAUUAUUAUUAUCUAUUUAAAAUUUCCACCAAAAUAUCUAGAUAUUUUUCCUUUCAAAUUUUCUAUUGGUCUUGAAAGGGUUUUUGGAACUUUUAAUUACUUUUUACUUAUUUUUAUUUUACAAUAUAUUUUUUGAGGCGUUAAUUGAUUGUAAAUCCAAAAAUUAUUAGUGAAUUUUGAUAUAUUUUUUUAGCUAUAUAAAGUUGUAGUAUAAAUACAUAAACAUUAGCUCAUUUCAGAAUUUGCCCUGAAUUUUAAUUUCGUCCAAAUCAUAACAUACAUGAAAAAAUUUAAGAUGAUAUAAUAUAUACACAUUAUAUUAAAGGGUUAACAUGCAAAAACACCCCUAACGUUACCACCCCAACUACACUUAAGCCCCUUACAUAACGUUGAUAGCAACUAACACCCCAAAGUUCAUUAAGUACUACAAUUAAACCCAUAAACAAAAUUUCUUUCACAAAAUUAAGAAAUUCAUUUUUUAAAAUUUAUAUAAUAUAUAAAAGGGGAGUUUUUCCCUCCAUUUUUUUUCUCUUUCUUCUCCCAUCAAUUUUUCAUAUAAAUAAAUAUUUUCAUACACAGACAAAAAUAAAAGAAUUAUAAAAUUUAACUAAAGAGAAAGAAAAUAAUAAUAUUUUAAAAUUUUAAGUAACGUAUUUGUUUUAAAUUUAUUUUUAAUAAUUUUAUACCAUAUUAAUAUUGGUUACAAACUUAAACAUAAGAUGCUUAUUAAAUAUUUCUUCAUAAAUUAAAUUUGAUAUUAUUUAAAAAAGUAUUAAAAUUGUAAAAGAAAAAAGAGAUGAAAAAUAAUGAAAAAAUUGAUGGGAGAAAAGAGAAAAAAAAUAGGUGGGAAAAAAUGGAGGAAGAAAACUCCUCUUUUAUAUAUUAUAUAGAUAUAGAUUAUCCUUUUAGGACCACGAGCAAUAGUACACAACUACACAUUAAUAAAUAAUUUAUAACUGUUACUUAAUAUUUAUAAGUUAUAAUUUUAUUUGUAUGAUAACAUAUUAAUAAAUUUACUCAUAUAGCAAUGCAUACGUUAAUCUUUGUUGGGGAAAAACAAAAACUGAAAUUAAACUACUUACUCAAAUAAUAACAGAAGCAUAGAACAGUCUCUUGCUUCAGCAUAUGGUUACCAAAAAAAAAAAGCUCAAACACUAUUUUGAUGCUAAAUAUAUAGCAUAUAUAGACAUUUGUGGUCAAAUUACGCACAUUAAAAAAAGUUCAGUAUUGAAAGGAAACAUGCAUUAUAAGUAGGGAUAUGAGUGAAUGGGUAUUACCCAAAUCAGAAUCAGAACCGUUCAUUACCCAUUGAGCUAUAAAGCAACGAUUCUGGUUCUGAUUCUAGACCCUACCCGCUCAGACCCAGAACCUAAUUGGUCCAGACCCAAUUUGAUCCGUUUGUUCUGGAUCCGGUCCGACCCGACCCAUAAACUUUUCUUUUGGUUUUUUUACAAGUCAUGUUUUUUUGCCCCCCAUCCCAAGUCAAUUUUUUUUUCAAAAAUCUAAUUUUCUGACCGCUUUCUACCACCCACCCCCAAGCCAAUUUUUUUUUCUUUCAAAAAUCUGAUUUGAUAAUGGGUAUUAUCGGGUCCAUGGGUCUUAUCAGAUCCAUGGGUAAUUAACCUACCCGGACCAUUUUAUUUUAUCACUUAAUGGGCCGGUUCUGGUCUGGAUCCAAUAAGCAAUGGAUCGGUUCUGGAUCUGGAACCGUAAUAAUUUUAACGGUUCUGGUCCGGGUAAUACCCACCCAUUGACAUCCCUAAUUAUAGGUAUGAGAUAUAUACUAAAAUUAUAUUGAAUUUUAAUUUUUUUUUAUGAUACAUCAUACUCCCUCCGUCCGCCAAAAGUAUUCCACUUUGGCCGGGCACGGAGUUUAAUAAAAUGUGUGAUGAUGUUGAUGUAGUGGUGAAAGGGCCCCACCACUUUAUGAGAUGUGUGAUUGAGAUUGAAUUUGGGGUGAGUUUUUUGUAAAUAAAGAGUAUUUGUAAGGAUAAAAUGUAUAAAGGUGGAUGGUGGGACCAUGGCUUAAAAAAGAAAGUGGAAUACUUUUUGCGAACGUCAAAUAUAGUAAUUGUGGAAUACUUUUGGCGGACAGAGGGAGUAUUAUGAUAUUUAACAUACUAAAAUUAGCUGUGAUAAGUUUGAAGUCCAAACUAUGAUAAAGUGCUUAGGCAAAAACUAAAAGGUCAAGGUCUCGGAUAAUUAUAAGGUCUCGGUUUAGGGAUUCAUUAUAAGUCUUAAUGAAUCAAAAAAUCUGCGCUGCUUGCCUUUUGUGGAGUUCUCUUCAUUUGAUAUCUUCAAAUCCAUAAGAUCUCUCCUUUAAUUUGCUCUCGAAGUAACAUAUUUUUCCUAUUUACCCUUUUAAAAUCCUACAUAAUAGUUCCACAUUGUUCUCCUACCUUCAUGCAUUCCACUUUUUAAAUACUUCAAAGCAUUCCAUGAGUUGUUGCUACUGGUACUCCAUGUCAAAUCUGCAGACGUUAAGCAAAGAUUCCAGUUUUAGAANUUUUUAUUGAUGCAUCAAUUAUGAUAUUUAACAUACUACAUUAGCUAGCAAUAAAUUUGAAGUCCAAACUAUGAUAAAGUGGUUAGGCAAAACAUAAAAAGUCAAGGUCUCAGAUAAUUAUUCACACUCAGGUUUAGGGAUUCAUUAUAAGUCUUAAUGAAUCAAAACCUGCGCGUCUACCUUUUGUGGAGUUCUCUUCAUUUGAUAUAUUCAAAUCCAUAAGAUAAGAUCUCUCCUUUAAUUUCCUAUCGAAGUAACAAAUUUUCCUAUUUAUCCCUUUAAAAUCCUACAUAAUAGUUCCACAUUGUUCUCCUACCUUCAUGCAUUCCACUUUUCCUCUCCACUACUUAAAUACUUCAAAGCAUUCCAUGAGUUGUUGCUAUUGGUACUCCAUGUCAAAUC